GGGUCCUUGCAUUCGCCCGGCACCGAGUGACCGUAUUGACCGUUACGCCCACUUACGGGGUGGUUUCGUGAUGCACCCCGUACCCGGAGGU
Streptomyces sp. CB01580 is the source of this 91-nucleotide regulatory RNA element. It matches the Rfam family "NLPC-P60 RNA". Lineage: Bacteria; Bacillati; Actinomycetota; Actinomycetes; Kitasatosporales; Streptomycetaceae. The record is from Rfam.